RNAcentral lists this ribosomal RNA (459 nucleotides) under uncultured bacterium. RNAcentral describes it as "partial 16S ribosomal RNA". It matches the Rfam family "Bacterial small subunit ribosomal RNA", at positions 338 to 795 of the family's 1533-position model. The record is from RNAcentral.
CCUACGGGAGGCAGCAGUGAGGAAUAUUGGUCAAUGGGCGGGAGCCUGAACCAGCCAAGCCGCGUGAGGGAAGAAGGUACAGCGUAUCGUAAACCUCUUUCGUCAGGGAACAAAGGCGGGGACUAGUCCCCGGAUGAGGGUACCCGAAGAAAAAGCAUCGGCUAACUCCGUGCCAGCAGCCGCGGUAAGCCGGGGGAUGCGAGCGUUGUCCGGAUUUAUUGGGGUUAAGGGGUGUGCAGGCGGCCUGAUAAGUCAGCGGUAAAAGCCCGGGGCUCAACCGCGGCGAGCCGUUGAAACUGGCGGGCUAGAGUUGGAGAGAGGUACGCGGAAUGCGCGGUGUAGCGGUGAAAUGCUUAGAUAUCGCGCAGAACCCCGAUUGCGAAGGCAGCGUACCGGCUCCACACUGACGCUGAGGCACGAAGGCGUGGGUAUCGAACGGGAUUAGAUACCCUUGUAGUC